UAUGAGUGCAGCUAUGGCUUCUCUUUAGGUUUGUAUGGCAAUUCUGAGUAAUGGGGAAUAAAGGGUACAGAGGAUUGCCUCCCCCCUCCCUUUUGCUUUUUAUGAGUGCAGCUAUGGCUUCUCUUUAGACCCUUUGAGGUAAAAAAAAAGGUUUAUUGAAAGAGUAUGGAACUUGUUUGUGAAAAUUCCCAAGUUUUUUUUUUUUUUUUUUCAUUGAAAAAUAAAACUUGAAAUGUCUGUUCCUGGGAUUUACAGGUUAGGUUUUGUGUGAAAUAUUUGUCUGUUUACAAAGUUUGUUUGAGUCCGUGUUACUUACCUGUCUUUGGCUGAAAUUGACACAGGUUUAGUUUCUUUGCUUGAACUGGUGAAGUGUGAAAUGCAAGUGAAACUCCAUAAGCUGAAUUUGGUUUAAGUUACUUGGAGAAGUUAUGUUCUUUUAGGGGGUUUUGGCUUUGGACUUUCUUCAUUUUGAAGUCAUAAUUAUUUAUUCUUAAGUUGGUCUUUGUGAAUAGUUUAAAACUCUCAAGUACUCUCUCCAGCAAGCAAUUUCUGGUCCAAACUUGUCUUCAUCUACCUUUUGAGGAGUUUUAAGAAGAAAGAGAUUCUGGUUUUGCAGGGCACCACCACCAGUUGAGCUGGAUUCUGUUCAAUCUUCUCUCUCAAGAGAGCUUCGUCCAUGUGAGCUUCAGUGAUUGAUAAUUUACAAACUACAACUUAUGCUCAUUUUCUAGUCCUUGAAUGCUCAGUGCUUUUCCUUUA
This is a long non-coding RNA of Hibiscus syriacus, 759 nucleotides long. RefSeq lists it as uncharacterized. Lineage: Eukaryota; Viridiplantae; Streptophyta; Magnoliopsida; Malvales; Malvaceae. The record is from RefSeq and is a predicted model, not a curated record. The transcript is spliced from 3 exons.